GGGGAAUCUUGGACAAUGGGCGCAAGCCUGAUCCAGCCAUGCCGCGUGAGUGAUGAAGGCCUUAGGGUUGUAAAGCUCUUUCGACGGGGACGAUAAUGACGGUACCCGUAGAAGAAGCCCCGGCUAACUUCGUGCCAGCAGCCGCGGUAAUACGAAGGGGGCUAGCGUUGUUCGGAAUUACUGGGCGUAAAGCGCACGUAGGCGGACAUUUAAGUUGGAGGUGAAAGCCUUGGGCUCAACCCAAGAAUUGCCUUUGAUACUGGAUGUCUCGAGACCGGGAGAGGUGAGUGGAAUUCCGAGUGUAGAGGUGAAAUUCGUAGAUAUUCGGAAGAACACCAGUGGCGAAGGCGGCUCACUGGCCCGGUUCUGACGCUGAGGUGCGAAAGCGUGGGGAGCAAACAGGAUUAGNUACCCUGGUAGUCCACGCCGUAAACGAUGGAUGCCAGCCGUUGGCAGGCUUGCUUGUCAGUGGCGCAGUUAACGCUUUAAGCAUCCCGCCUGGGGAGUACGGUCGCAAGAUUA
This 522-nucleotide ribosomal RNA is filed under the name uncultured bacterium. RNAcentral's name for it is "bacterial SSU rRNA". It matches the Rfam family "Bacterial small subunit ribosomal RNA", at positions 356 to 896 of the family's 1533-position model. The record is from RNAcentral.